This 125-nucleotide small RNA is filed under the name Marmota monax (woodchuck). The record is from RNAcentral. Lineage: Eukaryota; Metazoa; Chordata; Mammalia; Rodentia; Sciuridae.
GCCGGGUGCGGUGGCGCAUGCCUGUAAUCCCAGUGGCUUGGGAGGCUGAUUUAGGAGGAUCGCAAAUUCAAAGCCAGCCUCAGCAAAAGUGAGGCACUAAGCAACUCAGAGAGACCCUGUCUCUA